GAUCCGUCGUCCCAUGCCCUCUAGCUCCUCAGAGACAGACCACGCCACAGAAGCCGCUAAAAUGGUGUUUUCGAGAUGUUUUAAGAGGGGCAGGUAGACACUUGAUGACAAUCAACGCAAAGGCACAAGGUCACUGUCAAGAUAAAGGAGAAAUGGCAUGUGUACUCCA
This 169-nucleotide long non-coding RNA is filed under the name Strongylocentrotus purpuratus (purple sea urchin). Its description in RNAcentral is "uncharacterized LOC115929703". Lineage: Eukaryota; Metazoa; Echinodermata; Echinoidea; Camarodonta; Strongylocentrotidae. The record is from RNAcentral.